UUCCCGAAUCAAUACAUCCGUUC
This 23-nucleotide small nuclear RNA is filed under the name Arabidopsis thaliana (thale cress). RNAcentral's name for it is "snRNA_04010". Lineage: Eukaryota; Viridiplantae; Streptophyta; Magnoliopsida; Brassicales; Brassicaceae. The record is from RNAcentral.